Molecule: long non-coding RNA, 503 nt
Filed under: Bos indicus x Bos taurus (hybrid cattle)
Lineage: Eukaryota; Metazoa; Chordata; Mammalia; Artiodactyla; Bovidae
Description: lncRNA (ENSBIXG00000007883.1)
Source: RNAcentral
UGGGUCCAGGGUAGUUUGGACGUCUUUUUAGCCAGCAAUCUUCAUGAUGUAUUAUUGUCUAUCUUCCCUCCACCUUUUGUUCCUUUUUUUUUUUUUUUUUGGUAGAUCUCACUGAUGGGCCUGAGUUAAUCCUGUACCACCACCACCACCACCAUCAUCAUCAUUUCUCUCCCUUGAAGCCCUCUGUGGAACAAGACACAUCUCAAAGCUUCUGGCUGUUUCUUCUGCAUCUCAGAACUAAUUUCAGAAAUCACUGGUGCACCAAGUUCACCAAAUCUCUGGGGAGAGGAGACGCCAACCUGAGGAGCAACGUUGGUUGUAAAGAGGAUGGAUCCCUGCCAGUGGAAGGCCGAAGCCAGCCCUUCUGCCUUUCUUGAAGCUAACCUUGGCUUCCCAGACAAGCCACUGCUAGGAUGUUUUAUCUGAGGCAAGUGCAGUCCUGAGCAAAGGCAAACUCAUUCCUGGGAUUUAGGGGAGGAACCUGAGAAAUUUCCUUAAUAGGA